This 459-nucleotide ribosomal RNA is filed under the name uncultured bacterium. Its description in RNAcentral is "partial 16S ribosomal RNA". It matches the Rfam family "Bacterial small subunit ribosomal RNA", at positions 338 to 795 of the family's 1533-position model. The record is from RNAcentral.
CCUACGGGUGGCUGCAGUGAGGAAUAUUGGUCAAUGGACGAGAGUCUGAACCAGCCAAGUAGCGUGAAGGAUGACUGCCCUAUGGGUUGUAAACUUCUUUUAUAUGGGAAUAAAAUGUUCCACGUGUGGGAUUUUGUAUGUACCAUAUGAAUAAGGAUCGGCUAACUCCGUGCCAGCAGCCGCGGUACUAGGGAGGAUCCGAGCGUUAUCCGGAUUUAUUGGGUUUAAAGGGAGCGUAGGUGGAUUGUUAAGUUAGUUGUGAAAGUUUGGGGCUAAACCGGAAAAUUGCAGUUGAAACUGGCAGUGUUGAGGACAGUAGAGGUGGGCGGAAUUCGUGGUGUAGCGGUGAAAUGCUUAGAUAUCACGAAGAAAUCCGAUUGCGAAGGCAGCUCACUGGACUGCAACGGACAGUGAGGAUCGAAAGUGUGGGUAUCAAACAGGAUUAGAUACCCCUGUGUC